UGGGGCGCUAGGAUUGGCCGUGACGGGACUCCGUGGAAAGCAGUCAAGGAACGUGACGCGGCGUGAGGGCGGGGCCUGGACACCGUGGGAAGGAGCGUCUGCGGCGUUCUAGGCGGGAAGGGCGUGGCCUAGGCAUCGCCCAGGGGCGUAACCUGAGAAAGUUGGAUUUAGUGCGCGAAGGGAGUGGCGUGGCCGCGAUAAGGGCACGACGAAGCUGGUCGAGACUGUGGAAGAGUGCACCCGCUCUGGGAGACCGUGGACCUGGUCCCGGGGGGCAAGCGCCAGUCACCCAUCAACAUCCGGUGGAGGGACAGCGUCUAUGAUCCUGGCUUAAAACCGCUCACCAUCUCCUACGACCCCACCACCUGCCUCCAUGUCUGGAAUAACCGGUACUCUUUCCUCGUGGAAUCUGAAGAUUCUACAGAUAAAUCAGAUGAAGUGAAGCUCAGUGAAGUUCACUGCUUUCCUGCCAGGUUGCACAGCUGACAGCUGGAGAACUGGAUCAAAAAUCUGCGGAGCACACUCUGUGCAGGGCUUCUGAGCUCCUAGAGGCUGGGCAGGUGCAGGCCUCCUGCAAGCUCUGGAGGCAGAGUGUUUUCAGGGCACCCCAGAUUUGUCGUCAGGUAUGCUGAGACACACAGACAAGGAAAGGACUGUCAUGAUAGAAGAAUUUUAUCGUACAGUCCCUAAAACCAGAAGGCAGGACCACAUGGGGAAGCACGAGGGAUGGCCAGGAGGCAGCGGAAAGGAGGAGAAAUCGUGGAGGAGAGCCUCUUGUGGUUUCUGGAGGAAGGAACGCAUAAGCUACACAUCACGAGGAGCUACAGAAAUUGGUGGAUACUUUGCCAUCGAUCAAGCAUAAGGACAUCCUUGUGUAAUUCGGGUCAUUUGAUUCUUCCUGCCUGAUGCCUGCCUGCCGAGAUUACUGGACCUACUCGGUGUCCCUGACUACCCCGCCACAUUCCAGGUCCAUCGCCUGAAUCAUUAAGAAGCAGCCCAUAGAGGUUGAUCAUGAUCAGCUCACCAGCGGAUGACUAUGGUUUAUGUCUACAAACCAGAACGACACCCACUCGGUUAUGCGGCAGAGAAGAUGUGAGAAAUUCUGUAGACAUUUGAAAGAAAAAUACAUUAUAAGAAAUCCUUACACAGUGGCAUUAGACUGUCCAACGUCAUGCUGUGACCACCUGAAGAGAUACGUUAGGUCUGGAUGGAAUCUGUUGCCUGCUCUUGGACUCACCACUGUCUUCUACUUUCUUUCAUCCCAUCAUUGGGGACAGCCCAACAGGUGCAUUUCUGCACGGACUUUUGAGGGAAAUUUUCACAAAAAGAUUGAUUCACACCACCUUAAACAGACCUUAAACCUAAGUACUAUAAUUAGUUACCCAGCAGCCCUUGAACAGUGUUUUAGAAGUCAGAUGUUUUGAACUGUUAAUGCAAAACAUGACUCAGUCAAUUCCAUCAUUACCAGCAGAAAUGAAAAACAGAAAUAGCAUUUGUGUUCACAAAAAACACAUUCUAGGAAUGGAAGGAGACUGAAAAUUAUAGGAGAGUCUACAUAAAUCAAUGCUGUCAGAGCUAAAACAUAAAUUAUGAAUGGCAUUUACCAUUUUCCUAAGAGCAAAAUUGCUAGAAGUGACAUUAGUAACCAUUGGAAGAUCAAAGCACACAUCCCCUUUACCAAUAAACAUAAAUUCCUCCUCCUUUAAAAGAGCAUUCAAGUGUAUGAUGCUCAUUUUUACAAUAAUGAAGAAGGAGAGUGCCAUCCUGUAGAUUUUCUGUAAUUUUCAGGACCUGAUCGGAAUGACUACAUUUUUCCCGUUGUAAGGGUCAGGUACAAAAGCCAAAGCCUUCGUGGCCCCUCUGCCUAGAGCCAAGCUCCUGGGACCUGCAGUGGGAGCUAGAGGUUCCCUGUCCUCAAGAGCAGCGGACUCCCGGAGCAGGCGUCGCGUCCUCGGGGCCCUGGCCUGGCUCGUGCAGGGCCCGUGUCCAGAGGGUUCCCCGCUCAUGACCCCACGCGCUGCCCUUGCGCCCGGACCUCAACGGUCACCCUAGCCCUGCGUGUUCCGCGUCUACAGACACUUGGGGCACUUGUGGAAGCCGGAUUUCCCCCUCAAAGGCCCCGACCCCGCCGCCCCGCAAACAUGGGCAGCUACCUGAGCAGAUCCCUCGGCAGAUGCCUGGGCUCAGCCAAGGCCGCGCCGCCACACCCCGCUUGGAGGCCCCGGUCCCCGCG
This is a long non-coding RNA of Ailuropoda melanoleuca (giant panda), 2233 nucleotides long. RefSeq lists it as uncharacterized. The transcript has 7 exons. The record is from RefSeq and is a predicted model, not a curated record. NCBI's taxonomy places the organism in Eukaryota, Metazoa, Chordata, Mammalia, Carnivora, Ursidae.